ACCUGGCAGACUCAGCUGGAAGAGUAUUUGACUCUUGCUCUCAGGGUCGUGGGUUCAAGCCCCAUGUUGGGUA
RNAcentral lists this transfer RNA (73 nucleotides) under Felis catus (domestic cat). It matches the Rfam family "tRNA". From Rfam's summary of the family: Transfer RNA (tRNA) molecules are approximately 80 nucleotides in length. Their secondary structure includes four short double-helical elements and three loops (D, anti-codon, and T loops). Lineage: Eukaryota; Metazoa; Chordata; Mammalia; Carnivora; Felidae. The record is from Rfam by way of RNAcentral. RNAcentral also lists the same sequence under 5 other names.